Molecule: non-coding RNA, 2166 nt
Organism: Nylanderia fulva
Lineage: Eukaryota; Metazoa; Arthropoda; Insecta; Hymenoptera; Formicidae
Source: RefSeq, a predicted model, not a curated record
UGAUACGUGUCUGUUGAUCACGUGUUCAACCUGUGCACGUUACCACAUUUCCGGCAGCGAGCACGAGCAAUUGUUUCAAGAAGUACUGUUGCUGUGUGAUUGUAAUACUGAUAUUCUUUCGCGCCUAAAGUUUUGUGAGCUGGUGUAUCUUUUUGAAGAGAUAUCUCCUCUGAAGAGCUGAGAGAAAAGCUGAUAUCUCCUCUGAGCUGACUUCUCCAUAUUGCAUAAUUGUGUGCAUAGUUUUUUCAAGUAUUAGACGAAACUUUUUUAAAGUCAUACAGGCCAUUUUUCAUGCACAAAAUGUGAAGAAGAGGGUGAAAUGUUUAAUCAUGUAUUACGGAGACAGAACGUUUUUGCAAAAGAACUGAUCAUACAUUUAGAACUACUGCUCAACCGGAACAUCAUAUUGGCAAAAGUAUACUAUUAGAUAUACCUAACUUUAACAUGAUAGAUAAUGUACCAAUAGAUUACAUGCAUAAUCUUUUAUUAGGUGGUAUGAAAAGGCUCCUUUGUCAUAAACGGUAUGACUGGAUUUAUGGUAAACCACCCCAUAAAUUACGAGCUCGCGAUGUAAAUAAAAUUUCAGAAAAUCUUCUAAAAUUAAAGCAAUACGUUCCUUAUGAGUUUUUUUUAGAAAAACACGUUCUAUAAUUGAGUGUAAGAGAUAUAAAGCCACGGAAUAUAGAUUUUUUUUGCUCUAUUCUGGUCCUAUAGUUUUGAAAAAGGUUUUAUCAUCUAAAAUUUAUAAUAAUUUCAUAACAUUAAGUCUUGCUAGUUCUAUAAUGAUAAGUCAAUGUUAUUCGAGAAAUGAAGAUUAUGUAAUAUAUGCUCACAGUUUGAUGAAACACUUUGUCUGUCAGUCUAUUCAAAUUUACGGUCCGGAUUUUGUAUCACACAACAUACAUAACUUUUUGCAUUUAAGCGACUGUGUAAAAUUAUAUGGUUCACUUGACAAUUUUAGCGCUUUUCCUUUUGAAAAUUAUAUGCAACAAUUAAAGAAGAAAGUUCGUAAAUCAGCUCAGCCUUUACAGCAAGUUAUAUGUACAUCGCGUGCUUGAGGAAAGUAAUAUUGCUCAACAUAACUUUAAUAAUAUCUAAUAUAAUAUAAGUGUUCGAUAUACGACCUAUAUGAUUCACGCCGGACACCGAUCGCGGUGAUAUCAUUGUUUUCGUUCUCGUAUCAUCUCGGUGAAAUUCGGCGUAUUCCGAAAACACGGACGAGUGGGGAAAUGAGCCUCGACGGUUUCCAUCGAUGUGUCCGUGAUAUACUUCUGUUACAACAGUCGCGCGAAUAACAAGUAAGACCUUCACAACAACCGGCGAGCGAACGAACGAACAUUGUACAUCGAUCUACUCGGCACCGCAACAAUAAAUCUCGAUCUUGAGAAUUAAAUUUGAUUGCAUAUGUUACGUGGAUUUCCCCGUCACAUCACAGUUUGGCGAGACAAUACAAUUAAGAGAAUUACGGACAUCAAAAUACUCGCAUCACGCAUACGAGAUCACAUUUUCUCGUACAAUAAGCGAUUAAUAAUAUAAGCGAGUAGUUUGGGCACUUAUGACACUUAUAAAAAAGCGCAUCAAAAGGCAAACAAAACCAAAAGUACAAACAUUCUUACUUCUAAUAAUGAAGAGUUGAAAGAGAAAAGAAAACGUAAUACAAAAACUAAAAAACGCAAUAACAAAUCUGAAAGUGAAUCGUCCUUCUCUGAAAUAGAUAGAUCAUCAUCAGAUGAUGAUGCACUAUAUCCUGACGUUCCAAAUUUUAACGAACAAAUUGACUCAAACAAUAGAAAGAAAAAUCAAAUAGAAAAUAACACUCAUAAGUUCAAAGUUACUGUUGAUACUAUUUCUAAUUCUGGUACUAGUACUUCUAUUUCUAAUAUUGUUGAGUCAUAUCAUAAAAACCCGGCUUUGGAAUUAAAUUCUGAAUUUGGAAAACGGAUUUGUAGAGAAUUACACAUUCUCAGUUUGAAAAUGGAUGAUAUUUUCGAAGGUAUUAAUGUUCUACUAAAAAAUAAAGCAGAUCUAGUACAAAAUGUUGUAUGUAAUGAAAUUCCCGAAAUUAUGCAAUCAUUUCCUGUAAAUGAUAAUUCUUUGGCUGAAUUGGAGAACUGGUUAAUGACAUCUGAAAAUAAUAAAACAAUUUUGGUAAGAGAAAUUAAAAUA